CGAGACUGGAAGAAUGCAUAAUAAAAGUCCGAAACUUGCGCGUUCGUUCCGCAUCCUAAAUGCUAUCUGUAUUGACAGCUCCACUGGGUUAGGCCUCUGUUCUAAGGGACGCUGGGAGUUCUGCCUCAACUUAGAAAUCCCUGGUAAAGUGCCUAGGUAAUAAGACGGGACCGCCCGCCUAAUGUACUCAGUCAAGAUGGCUGAGCUCUCCUAAAUAGCAAACCCUGCCUUUGUCAGCGCGUCAAAUCUGGAUCAAGCUAGUAUUGUAUUUCGAUAUUGACAGUUUUCUGCACACUGGCUUUGGGGGAGUUGGCGGUCCCCCUUUCCUACAAGGUUUAGGGGUAGACAAAAUAAUUCGAAGUCUUUAAAGUUGCGAUAAAUAUGUUGACACCAACAGUAGAGUUGGCUAUGAAGGGAAAGAGGGGAAAAAAGAAGCGAUUUCUGAGAUGGUGAGGCAAGCCUAGCACUUCGCUGAGGGAAGAGGAAAAGCAGUGGGGAAGUAAAGGAAGGCUCCUCCCCCAGCAUGUACUGUUUGCUUUGCAUCUAAUGAAGGGUACAGGGGCCUUUCUCUGCUAUUGUUGCCUGAGGCCUAGAAUUUAAAUAUAUCACAGAAGGAAAUUCCAUAUUAAAAACCCUUCCCCUAAAAUGUAAGUAAGAUUAUUCUUGAUUGAAUUUUUUUUUCACUAAAGGAAUGUUCCUUGAAGUCGUUUCAGAAAAUAAAACUCUUAAAUUUUCCUCAGGCCCGUGAAAUUACCCUGGAGAAACAGACCACCACCUAUUUCUUGACUGCUACUGUAGAGACCAUCUCUCCAACUCCCAAAUCGAGAUUUAAUGUGAUCGGCUGUCUCAUAUUCCUGCCACCAUGACAUUUCUGACAUGAUGGACUGUGUUCUCUCAAACUGUGAGCCAAAGUUCUUCCAAUGUAACACAAGAUGGUCCUAACUGAUGGUGGUUCCCCUGGCUCAGCAUCUUCAGUGGUGUCAGCUUCCACUCCCACUCUGUCUCCCUUCAUUGAGAGCUGCUCACACCUUUGUCUUCUGGUCCGCACCAUUAGGUUGAAGGCAGAGAAUCAUUGUACUGAGCAUCUCUGGAUGAACUGACAAAGGAAAAGAGUGAACUGUGCAAUAGAGUUAACCAACAUCUAGCAUCUCAGAAUAUGGGGAAGGACAACAAUAGACUCAGCAGUAAAACUG
This 1193-nucleotide long non-coding RNA is filed under the name Cricetulus griseus (Chinese hamster). RNAcentral describes it as "lncRNA (ENSCGRG00015034963.1)". The record is from RNAcentral. Lineage: Eukaryota; Metazoa; Chordata; Mammalia; Rodentia; Cricetidae.